UAAGUAGUUAAAAUUAGAAAUCACAGCAAGUCAACAGGAAGCUCUCCUCUGCCAGUCUCCUAAAUCACAAUAUGGCCUUGUCGUGGCUGGAGUAUUUCAAAGGCUCAGUCCCACUCCAGAAUCGGCCCUGUCGCCUCCGCCCGCACUCCAGAGCCGGCUGAGAACCGCAGCGGCGCGGGAUCCACGUGCAGCGUCUCUCCAGGUCAAAGCUACCUAGAUGUCAUCAUACAAAUUACAGGCUAUGACGUCCACCUCAUUCUCUUUCUGGAAGGCUGACCUUAACUGUCCUGCACAUUCCUUACACAGCAUAUUUGCCCUUUUCCUAUACUAAUAAGCCCUAAAUCUUGGGGGUAACAGCCUGGGGAACUACCUGUCUUGCUACCACUCAAGACCAUACUUCUGUCCACAAAUUCCCCCCAAUAAAUUAUCUUUUACUGACAAA
Molecule: long non-coding RNA, 442 nt
Filed under: Homo sapiens (human)
Lineage: Eukaryota; Metazoa; Chordata; Mammalia; Primates; Hominidae
Description: non-protein coding lnc-ZNF680-4:1
Source: RNAcentral